This is a long non-coding RNA of Aquila chrysaetos chrysaetos, 107 nucleotides long. RefSeq lists it as uncharacterized. The record is from RefSeq and is a predicted model, not a curated record. The transcript has 3 exons. NCBI's taxonomy places the organism in Eukaryota, Metazoa, Chordata, Aves, Accipitriformes, Accipitridae.
GAGGUAGUUCUGGGGUCCUGAAUGUGAUUUAGGGUAGUUUUGGGGUAGCUCUGGGGACGCUUUGGUGUGGUUUGGGGAUCCCAAGUAUGGUUUGGGACAGUUUUGGG